This is a small nuclear RNA of Hemiscyllium ocellatum (epaulette shark), 103 nucleotides long. Lineage: Eukaryota; Metazoa; Chordata; Chondrichthyes; Orectolobiformes; Hemiscylliidae. The record is from RefSeq and is a predicted model, not a curated record.
UGACUUCAGCAGUAUGCACAGUAAAGUUGGAAUGAUACAGAGAAGAUUAGCUUGGCCCCUGCACAAAGAUGAUAUACAAAUUCAAGAAGUGUUAAAAAAUGGU